This 581-nucleotide ribosomal RNA is filed under the name Scinax fuscovarius (snouted treefrog). Its description in RNAcentral is "partial 16S ribosomal RNA". It matches the Rfam family "Bacterial large subunit ribosomal RNA", at positions 1837 to 2620 of the family's 2925-position model. Lineage: Eukaryota; Metazoa; Chordata; Amphibia; Anura; Hylidae. The record is from RNAcentral.
CCGGUAAAAUAAGAGGGUCAGCCUGCCCAGUGACAAAUGUUCAACGGCCGCGGUAUCCUAACCGUGCGAAGGUAGCGUAAUCACUUGUUCUUUAAAUGAGGACUAGUAUGAAUGGCACCACGAGGGUUGCACUGUCUCCUUUCCCUAAUCAAUGAAACUAAUCUCCCCGUGAAGAAGCGGGGGUACUAAUAUAAGACGAGAAGACCCUAUGGAGCUUUAAAUUUCUCUUCAAACGCCAGACACAAACAUCUGACACUUUACAUUAACCCGACGCCUUGAAGAUGAAUUUUAGGUUGGGGUGACCAUGGAGAACAAAAUAACCUCCACGCUGAAAAGGCCUCCAAGCCUUGAGCCGAGGGCUACAACCCAACGCACUAAAAAAUUAACACCCAUUGACCCAAUAUUUUUGAUCAACGAACCAAGUUACCCUAGGGAUAACAGCGCAAUCUACUUCAAGAGUCCCUAUCGACAAGUGGGUUUACGACCUCGAUGUUGGAUCAGGGUAUCCCAGUGGUGCAGCCGCUACUAAAGGUUCGUUUGUUCAACGAUUAAAACCCUACGUGAUCUGAUUCCAGACCAGA